AGAGGGAGGAGGGGGGUAGAGAGGGAGGGGGGUACCAACCAAUAAGAUGCCUUUGAAAUGUGUCUACUAAUUGAUGAGACAAGCUCAGACUCGUCCUGUAGUGAUGUAUAUUGGCUGCAUCUUGUGACCAUGACCAACAUCUUUGGAAUGUGAGACGAGGAGAGGGAGGGAGAGACGGACAGAGACAGAGA
Long non-coding RNA from Amblyraja radiata (thorny skate), 191 nucleotides. RefSeq lists it as uncharacterized. Lineage: Eukaryota; Metazoa; Chordata; Chondrichthyes; Rajiformes; Rajidae. The transcript has 3 exons. The record is from RefSeq and is a predicted model, not a curated record.